AUUGAACGCUGGCGGCAGGCCUAACACAUGCAAGUCGAACGGUAACAGGAAGCAUCUUGCUGCUUCGCUGACGAGUGGCGGACGGGUGGGUAAUGUCUGGGAAACUGCCUGAUGGAGGGGGAUAACUACUGGAAACGGUAGCUAAUACCGCAUAACGUCGCAAGACCAAAGAGGGGGACCUUAGGGCCUCUUGCCAUCGGAUGUGCCCAGAUGGGAUUAGCUAGUAGGUGGGGUAACGGCUCACCUAGGCGACGAUCCCUAGCUGGUCUGAGAGGAUGACCGGCCACACUGGAACUGAGACACGGUCCAGACUCCUACGGGAGGCAGCAGUGGGGAAUAUUGCACAAUGGGCGCAAGCCUGAUGCAGCCAUGCCGCGUGUAUGAAGAAGGCCUUCGGGUUGUAAAGUACUUUCAGCGGGGAGGAAGGGAGUAAAGUUAAUACCUUGGCUCAUUGACGUUACCCGCAGAAGAAGCACCGGCUAACUCCGUG
This 490-nucleotide ribosomal RNA is filed under the name uncultured bacterium. RNAcentral describes it as "partial 16S ribosomal RNA". It matches the Rfam family "Bacterial small subunit ribosomal RNA", at positions 30 to 507 of the family's 1533-position model. The record is from RNAcentral.